Molecule: ribosomal RNA, 248 nt
Filed under: Salmonella enterica
Lineage: Bacteria; Pseudomonadati; Pseudomonadota; Gammaproteobacteria; Enterobacterales; Enterobacteriaceae
Description: partial 23S ribosomal RNA
Rfam family: Bacterial large subunit ribosomal RNA
Source: RNAcentral
GAGGACCGAACCGACUAAUGUUGAAAAAUUAUCGGAUGACCUGUGGCUGGGGGUGAAAGGCCAAUCAAACCGGGAGAUAGCUGGUUCUCCCCGAAAGCUAUUUAGGUAGCGCCUCGUGAACUCAUCUCCGGGGGUAGAGCACUGUUUCGGCUAGGGGGCCAUCCCGGCUUACCAACCCGAUGCAAACUGCGAAUACCGGAGAAUGUUAUCACGGGAGACACACGGCGGGUGCUAACGUCCGUCGUGAA